GGAAACUUGCUACUUCGAGUGGCAAAAUUUAAUUGCUGAAGCUUCAAGACAAGGCUAUAAGGGUGAGGAAGAACUGCAGUGGGACUCCUACCAAAUCCUUAAUGAAGAACUUAAAAAGGAGUGGCUAGAGAGUGUUGAGCAACGAAAAAAAAUGCCAAGGACAGUUGGAAGCAGGAGAGCACCAAAGUCAGCUGAGCAGAGGAAGAAGAUAUCGGAAUCCAUCUCUGCAAAAUGGGCUGAUCCUUUGUCAAGAAGAUAUUUGGACUUAAGUCUAGGCC
Molecule: unclassified non-coding RNA, 278 nt
Filed under: Hevea brasiliensis (rubber tree)
Lineage: Eukaryota; Viridiplantae; Streptophyta; Magnoliopsida; Malpighiales; Euphorbiaceae
Source: RNAcentral